This 1089-nucleotide long non-coding RNA is filed under the name Nicotiana benthamiana. RNAcentral describes it as "long non-coding RNA (NBEN_LNC016253)". Lineage: Eukaryota; Viridiplantae; Streptophyta; Magnoliopsida; Solanales; Solanaceae. The record is from RNAcentral.
GCGGGAGAGCCGAACAGUAGAAAAACAAAUCGUACCUCCCCUACGCCUUCUUCUAAAGACACCCCAUCGAUACACUGCUUGAACAGAGAAACUGAUACAAAGACCCCUAGCACCGAAGAGAAAAUCGGCGAAUGCCCAAAAUAAAAAUCGCCUCUGCCAUCUCCCUAACUAGAUCGAACCUGUCAGAACUCUGUUCCUCUGGUUUUGGGGUUUAAUUCCCUUUGAUUUUUAACUCGGAUUGGUUCUCUAUUAAAGCUGGUCAAUUGAGAGUUCAAUGGUUCGGAAUUGUGGCUCGCAAACUCAAAUGACUUUGAACGCGGUUUCAGAUUCGAUUGUAGUUAUGGUUUGUUGACUUCCUUGUAAUUGUCAGAAUUUUAUUUAAAUCAAAGGCCAAUUCUAGCUCAUUUCCAUCGUAUGAGGUCUGGGUUCAGUCGUGGAGGUACGUCGAGGUUGUUUAGAGGUCGCCGCUGCCCGUUCGAGGCUCAGUUGCCUGUUCGAGGUUGAGAUUCCGGUCCAGAUGCCUAGUCUAUAGCUCGCUCGAGUGCUUUGCUGUCCUAGAGCUGUAUUUGCAUUGUAUUUGCUCCAGAAUUUCAAUAAUUAGAAGGUCAGUUCUUCCAUUUCUUCACUGAAUUUUAUUCAUGUCCUGUUACUAGCGGGUAUAAAAAAUAUACAUCGUUGAUUCAUAGCAUUCAAGUUUUCCUUUUAUUGAUUUCUGUCUCGAUUGAUCUGGUUUGCUCCUUUUCUCAAAAUUGAAUUAAGUCAUGUGAAUUUCAAGCUAUUUGAGUUCUAAAAUGGUUCGUCAUGCCUUGUUGCGGCAGAUUUAAGCUUAGACUUUGACUACACUUGAUGGGAAGAAAAAGUAUUCCUCUGCGGUAUCGUGUCUGUGUUGAUUCUUUGUGUUAGAAUGUUUUGCUUUCUUUAUUAUGAAAAGAGAAAACAGAAAUGCUAGCUUUGGCUCAAUUAUUUUGCUAAGGAUAUUGACAGUUUGGCAAAUGUUGAACUUGAGUUGGAAUUUCAUGUGAACUCCUUUUUUGGAAUUUGAGACUAUUGUUUAUUUCGUUCUAGCUUAACGUUAAUUGUUUGCGUGGU